GACGGGGGCCCGCACAAGCGGUGGAGCAUGUGGUUUAAUUCGAUGAUACGCGAGGAACCUUACCUGGGCUCAAAUGUAUGUUGACGUAUUCUGAAAGGGAUACUUCUUCGGACAAUAUACAAGGUGCUGCAUGGUUGUCGUCAGCUCGUGCCGUGAGGUGUCGGGUUAAGUCCCAUAACGAGCGCAACCCCUAUCAUUAGUUGCCAUCAGGUCAAGCUGGGGACUCUAAUGAAACUGCCUACGCAAGUAGUGAGGAAGGUGGGGAUGACGUCAAAUCAGCACGGCCCUUACGUCCAGGGCUACACACGUGCUACAAUGGCCGGUACAAAGGGCAGCUACCUGGUGACAGGAUGCUAAUCUCAAAAGCCGGUCUCAGUUCGGAUCGGAGUCUGCAACUCGACUGCGUGAAGUCGGAAUCGCUAGUAAUCGUGAAUCAGAAUGUCACGGUGAAUACGUUCCCGGGCCGUU
Molecule: ribosomal RNA, 468 nt
Filed under: uncultured Sphingobacteriales bacterium
Lineage: Bacteria; Pseudomonadati; Bacteroidota; Sphingobacteriia; Sphingobacteriales
Description: bacterial SSU rRNA
Rfam family: Bacterial small subunit ribosomal RNA
Source: RNAcentral